GACGACGAAGCUCAGUGGGAGAGUGCAGGGCUUUGCCUUGAGGUUGCUGGUUCGACUCCAGCCGUCGCCA
This 70-nucleotide transfer RNA is filed under the name Phytophthora megakarya. It matches the Rfam family "tRNA". Rfam says of the family: Transfer RNA (tRNA) molecules are approximately 80 nucleotides in length. Their secondary structure includes four short double-helical elements and three loops (D, anti-codon, and T loops). The record is from Rfam by way of RNAcentral. Lineage: Eukaryota; Oomycota; Peronosporomycetes; Peronosporales; Peronosporaceae.